GACGAACGCUGGCGGCGUGCUUAACACAUGCAAGUCGAACGAAGAGCGAUGGAAGCUUGCUUCUAUCAAUCUUAGUGGCGCACGGGUGAGUAACGCGUAAUCAACCUGCCCUUCAGAGGGGGACAACAGUUGGAAACGACUGCUAAUACCGCAUACGAUCUAAUCUCGGCAUCGAGGAUAGAUGAAAGGUGGCCUCUACAUGUAAGCUAUCACUGAAGGAGGGGAUUGCGUCUGAUUAGCUAGUUGGAGGGGUAACGGCCCACCAAGGCGAUGAUCAGUAGCCGGUCUGAGAGGAUGAACGGCCACAUUGGGACUGAGACACGGCCCAGACUCCUACGGGAGGCAGCAGUGGGGAAUCUUCCGCAUGGGACGAAAGUCUGACGGAGCAACGCCGCGUGAGUGAUGACGGCCUUCGGGUUGUAAAGCUCUGUUAAUCGGGACGAAAGGCCUUCUUGCGAAUAGUGAGAAGGAUUGACGGUACCGGAAUAGAAAGCCACGGCUAACUACGUG
This 510-nucleotide ribosomal RNA is filed under the name uncultured bacterium. RNAcentral's name for it is "partial 16S ribosomal RNA". It matches the Rfam family "Bacterial small subunit ribosomal RNA", at positions 28 to 507 of the family's 1533-position model. The record is from RNAcentral.